CAGCCUAUCCAGCAAGUCUGCCAGGAAGAGGCCCUCAGCCGCCUGCUGCUAUCUCGAGUUUGCAAAGAGGAAAAGAAUCCUGGUGCUUGCCAGAAAUGAACCACUUGCGUGGUGCUGAGAUCAGGGUUUCUUGGUGCUGAGAAAUCCAUCAGCCAGUCCACAGAAACUUAGAAUUGUCAUUUCAGACCGCGUCUCUUAAGACAUUUGACACUCAAUGUGUCAUUUAAGAUAGCAGCCCUGCACUUACAGGUACAAAAUCACCAUCUUCUGAAUUAUGGUGGAACAAUCAAGACGGAUGAGAUCAAAGGAAAGAAAAAGGAAAAUCAUUUCUAGCUUUAUCCAAGACCUGGUGAUACCAGACCUUGUUCCAGACAUGGAAAGUCAGAGACACAAGGCCCCUGGCAGGGGUAGGCUGGGGUGGUGAACUGACACGUAAGUAAAUAUGUAAAGGAGGGGAGGCUGACACCGGAAGGGCGAGGAGAGUUCAGUGCUGGUGCCUGGGGCAGGCCUCCCUGUGGCCACAUUCCUGCUUCCUGCUGGGGGAGGCUAAGGGAGGGGCGCAAAGGUGCUGGUGGGCAGAGGGAAGGUGUCAAGGGGGUGGUGUGCCCCCUGCCAUCUGCAAUCGUGUACUUAAAGGGAGGAGGACUGGCGCAUUCCAACAAUUUGGGCUCUCACUGCUUGAGCAAACCCUGGUGUGCAUUUGGCCUCAGGGCCUGGAAGACGACAGUUCAAGAAACCACAGGACUCCAGCAAUGAGCUGCUCCCCUUGCUGUGUGUGUGUGUGUGUGUGUGUGUGUGUGUGUGUGUAGGGUGAGGGAUGGCAAGUAGGAAAGGAAUUCCAGGAAGAAUAAAGUGCAUGUGCAAAGGCCCUGGGGCAGGAGGAGCCUUGGCUGCUGGAGGAAGCAUAAGAAAGCUGAGGUGUCGGCUGGGCACAGUGGCUCAUGCCUGUAAUCCCAGCAGUUUGGGGGGCUGAGACGGGUAGAUCAGGAGUUCGUGACCAGCCUGGCCAACAUGGCAAAACCCCGUCUCUACUAAAAAUACAAAAAUUAACCAGGCGUGGUGGUACAUGCCUGUAGUCCCAGCUACCCGGGAGGCUGAGGCAGGAGAAUCACUUAAAUCCAGGAGGUGGAGGUUGCAGUAAGCUGAGAUUGUGCCACUGCACUCCAGUCUGGGUGACAGAGUGAGACUACGUCUUGAAAAAAAAAAAAGAGAGAAAAAAAAGAAAGCUGAGGUGUCUGGACCUGAGCCGGGAAAGGUGAGGACAGGAUAGGCCCUGCAGGGCCCUGGACCGUGUUAAGCAGUUUGGUUUUUAGCCUAAGAGCAAUGGCAUUUAUGACUAAGUGUGCAAUUUACAAAAACUCCUGUGGCUACGGGGUUGUUUUCCUGCUAAGCCCUGCCCUGCCAAGCAAGCAGAAAGGUCUCAGAGUGUGAAUCCACGAGCCAUGGACCGGGAGGGCCUCAGGCCAGACAACAAGUCCCUUUCCACCCAUCCACCUUGCGUUCUGAGAUGGCUGAGCUGUAUGUGUCGCCGUGGCUGGGCUGUGGGGCCCAGUUGUUUGGUCAUGCAUUAGUCUAGAUGCUGCUGUGAAAGUGUGCUGCAGAUGCGGCUCACACUGACAGUCAGCUGACUGCAAGAGAAGGAGAUCGCCCUCAAUAAUGCAGGAGCCUCAUGAAGUCUGUUGGCAGCCUGAAGAGUAAAUACUGAGGUUUCCCAGAGAAGAAACCCAGCCUGGAAUAUCAACUCCUGCCUGAGUCCCCGGCUUGCUGGCUUGCCCUUCACAUUGCAGAAUUGCCAGCCUGCACAAUUGUGUGGGCCAAGUUCUUAAAAUAAAUUUCUUAGUAUAUG
Homo sapiens (human) is the source of this 1846-nucleotide long non-coding RNA. RefSeq lists it as uncharacterized. The record is from RefSeq and is a predicted model, not a curated record. The transcript is spliced from 2 exons. Lineage: Eukaryota; Metazoa; Chordata; Mammalia; Primates; Hominidae.